Molecule: ribosomal RNA, 756 nt
Filed under: Triticum aestivum (bread wheat)
Lineage: Eukaryota; Viridiplantae; Streptophyta; Magnoliopsida; Poales; Poaceae
Description: partial small subunit ribosomal RNA
Source: RNAcentral
AUGGCCACCUGCCUCUCUGAUCUCAUUAGUGACAAUACCCUAGAUUUCCUGGGUCUGCAAGAGACCAUGAAAAAAGAUUUCUCCCCCAAAUGCUUGAGGAGAAUUAAUCCCUCUAAUUUGUUCAGUUGGAACUGGGUUCCUUCUGAAGGCAAAUCUGGAGGUAUCCUGUGUGGAGUUAGACAAGACACUCUGGAGGUUGUCUCUUGCUACAAGAGAAAGUAUAUCUUGCAGUUAGUGGUCCUGGAUAAGAAGAAGAAGACCAAUUGGGGGCUCUUGGUGGUGUAUGGCUCUGCUCAUGAAGAGUAUAAGGAGGAGUUCCUGCUUGAACUUGCUACUAUAUGUAAUAACAUGCAAGUUCCUUAUAUAGUGGGUGGGGAUUUUAAUAUCCUUAGGCACCCUAGAGAGAAAAACAAGAAAAUGACUAGCCAUAAAUCCACUGACCUGUUUAACUCCAUUAUCAACACCUUGGCUCUUAGAGAGAUCCAUAGCAGUGGGGGAAAAUACACUUGGUCGAAUAACCAAGCUCACCCUACAUUGGAGAAGUUAGAUCGCAUCCUGAUGUCUGAGGAGUGGGAAGACUUAUUUCCCCUUGUUUCUUUCCGGAAGUUGGUCCGAGAGAUUUUUGAUCAUAACCCUCUACUGAUUAACUCUGGGGAAGAGGGACGUGAGGCCCCCAAGACUCACGAAUUCCGUUUUGAGCUUUCUUGGAUUAAGGAUGAACGUUUCUUGCCUUUGGUCAGUAAAAUCUGGGCCAGA